Molecule: unclassified non-coding RNA, 413 nt
Filed under: Helichrysum leucopsideum
Lineage: Eukaryota; Viridiplantae; Streptophyta; Magnoliopsida; Asterales; Asteraceae
Description: partial external transcribed spacer
Source: RNAcentral
UGAGUGGUGUUUGGAGUGUUACGGGUGGUUGGCUCUUUGCUUGCGCAACAACUUCCACCUGGCAUUCCUCUUCAUUUUUGAUUCAAUGCUUGUAUUGCAUUGAUUGCACGAAGGGUUUCUUGUGUUUCAUGCCUAAUUGACGGUAUCGUUUGACGACUCGAUGAGUAUCUUCGUCUUGUGUCGCACAUGCGAUGCGAGAUGAACACUAAAGCAGCCUUUGUGAUCCACUCUUUCAUUGCAUACGCUUUGGUUUUGUGGCUCAGUGAGUGUUUGCUUGGUCUCAUGGAUAUGGAACCUUGUUUGGGCAUGUGAUCUUUUACUAGCUCAUUGUUUGCCCUAGUUAAGCUUCUUCAAAUACGAUUUCCUAUCAUGUCUCGACAUGGUAGGCUAUAUCGAAUAUGAAUGCUACCUGG